Molecule: transfer RNA, 76 nt
Filed under: Planctomycetota bacterium
Lineage: Bacteria; Pseudomonadati; Planctomycetota
Description: tRNA-Ala
Rfam family: tRNA
About the family: Transfer RNA (tRNA) molecules are approximately 80 nucleotides in length. Their secondary structure includes four short double-helical elements and three loops (D, anti-codon, and T loops).
Source: RNAcentral
GGGGACGUAGCUCAGUUGGGAGAGUGUCGCGUUCGCAAUGCGAAGGUCGGGGGUUCGAAUCCUCUCGUCUCCACCA